RNAcentral lists this ribosomal RNA (607 nucleotides) under Pomphorhynchus rocci. Its description in RNAcentral is "s-rRNA". Lineage: Eukaryota; Metazoa; Acanthocephala; Palaeacanthocephala; Echinorhynchida; Pomphorhynchidae. The record is from RNAcentral.
UUUACGACUCAUACUCCUAAGAGGUAUUUCUCUGAUUAAUGUUCAUUGAGGGUUUAUCAAGCAUAUAGCUUAAACAAUAAAUAAAGUUUGAGAGAGUUUAUUGUGACAUGGUAGUUUAUGAUAGUAAACGUAGGGAUGCUAAAAAUCUAGUUAAAGUUGUGCCAGCGGCUGCGGUUAAACAGCUAGAGCGCUUGAUGUAUUAAUUGCUGAAUUUAAUAAGGGAUUUGUAGUGGUGAAAUAUGUGUAGGUCUUUAAAAGAGCUGAAAGAUGAGAUUUCGAGUCAGAUUAGAUACCUGAGUAGACCAUUUAUAGAGAUGAUAUGGGGAAUAUCUAAAUAAUGUGGCGGUGUUCUUGAUAGGUAGGGGGACUUGGAGGGGAUAAUAAACCUGAAGAAUAGUAAUUUAUUAGCUGCUUGUAUGAUUGAAUACUCUUGAAGAUGGGUGUUUAAAUGUCAUAGGGGGUGUGUUUUGAACUCUGAGUUUUAUGGGUAAUAAAAAUAAAGGAUUUACGAGUAGUUGGUAGAGAAUGAAGGCAUCAAGGAUGAGUACAUAUCGCCCGUCAACACCUCAAAGGUGUAAGUCUUAACAUAGUGAUUCUACUUGAAAGU